This 253-nucleotide ribosomal RNA is filed under the name uncultured bacterium. RNAcentral describes it as "partial 16S ribosomal RNA". It matches the Rfam family "Bacterial small subunit ribosomal RNA", at positions 524 to 776 of the family's 1533-position model. The record is from RNAcentral.
UACAGAGGGGGCGAGCGUUGUUCGGAAUUACUGGGCGUAAAGGGCGCGUAGGUGGCGGCAUAAGGCCGUUGUGAAAGUCAGGGGCUCAACCCUUGAAUGCCGGCGGAUACUGUCGGGCUAGAGUCCGGAAGAGGCGAGUGGAAUUCCCGGUGUAGCGGUGAAAUGCGCAGAUAUCGGGAGGAACACCUAUGGCGAAGGCAGCUCGCUGGGACGGUACUGACGCUGAGACGCGAAAGCGUGGGGAGCAAACAGG